RNAcentral lists this long non-coding RNA (3947 nucleotides) under Salmo salar (Atlantic salmon). Its description in RNAcentral is "lncRNA (ENSSSAG00000117751.1)". Lineage: Eukaryota; Metazoa; Chordata; Actinopteri; Salmoniformes; Salmonidae. The record is from RNAcentral.
AUUUGUUCUUCUUGUCCUCUCAGCGGGCAUCAAUAUGCAAGACAUACUGUAUCACCUCUGUGUGUGUUAGUAGUAUGCGCUACAGGACAGCACCUCCUGAGAGAGGAAUCAUGUUUGCUAACGCAGGCAGUCAUCACAUCAUUGACCUCAUUGGUGAUGGUGUUGUUGCGUGAAUGCAGAUGCUGUUAUUGAGAGACCCUUGCACGAUGGUAAUGGGAGUGUGUGUGUGUGUGUGUGUGUGUGUGUGUGUGUGUGUGUGCCUUGUGUGUGGGCGUGUGUGUGUGUGUCUCUGUGUGUGUAAGUGCGUGCCUCUGUGUGUGUGUGUCUCUGUGUGUGUAAGUGCAUGCCUCUGUGUGUGUGUGUGUCUCUGUGUAUGUGUGUGUGUCUCUGUGUAUGUGUGUGAGAGAGGUUCAGGAGGGCAGGGUUUUAAAUGCAGGUGGUACUAUUAAUGGAUAAAUGUAUUAUAAUCAGUAUUAAAAACAUUGUUAAUGUCAAUGUAAUGAUGAGACUCAAGUAGAACCCUUAUUCUAGAGGUCUGAUCUCCUCAUCCCAUCCUCUUCCGCUGACUUCCACCGGCUCCCCAACCUGACCACAGUCCCAUUUUAGGUGUAUGCGACGCAGGUCACUUUGAAACCCCGGUCCCUGCAAUUUUGCCUCCCUAGUCAAGAUCAAAAUGGGUAAGAAUAUCCUAAGAAAUAGGUUGAAUUACCAGAGCUUCUCACGUGGCCCAUUUCUAUUAGUCUAACAGUAUUAUUGGGCUAUAUCAGCCAAAAAAGCUAAGCUAGUUUGAAAGAGAGUAGAGUUGGGGAGAAAUAAUCCCUUUCCUCCAGUCAAAUGACCAAAUCGCCCUCUAGGGACCUCAUGGGGGGGAAUAUUAUUCAUAUUUUUCAUAAUUUCAUUAUUUUUUUAAAAUUAUGUCAAACGUUUUUUUUUAUAUUGCAGUCUUCUGUGAUGUAUAUAAAGUGUAAUAUUGGUAUGCAAAAUGUAUGUAACGGGCGUCGUAAGGAUUGGACCAAGUUGCAGCGGUAACGUUUAUACUCAUCUUCUUUAUUACAUUUAAAAGAAGUGAAAAACAAACAAAUCAAACGUAAACAAAAACAACGAACGACAUAAAACAGUCCUGUCAGGCGCACAGACACUAAACAGGUGUCACGACUCCCGCCGAAGUCGGCCCCUCUCCUUGUUCGGGCGGCGUUCGGCGGUCGAAGUCACCGGCUCUCUAGCUGCCACCGAUCGAUGUUUCACUGUUCGUUUGGUUUUGUCUUUAUUGUGUACACCUGUUUUCAUUUUCCCUAAUUAUGUUCAUUAUUUAAACCUCUGCAUUUCCUGUUUGUCUUGUCGGUGAUUGUUUGUCUGUUUUAUGUAGUUGGAGGUGUUUCUCCAAAAAUAUGUAUUUUGAUGAGAAGAUUUAUGGAUAAUUUUAGUAAACACGUUUUGUUUACCUUUAUCCCUGUGUCCUGCGCCUGACUCCUCCACUUCUCUAAGAAAAGCAUUACAACAGGAGACAACUACCCACAAACCCCAAUAGCACAAACACCCCUAUACAUAGGACCUUCAAUCAGAGGGAACGAGGAACAGCUGCCUCCAAUUGAAGGUCAAUCAACAAACCCUAAACAUAGAAGUAGAAAAACUAGACUGAACAUAGAAAAACACUAACCUAGAACAUAGACCAAAACCCCCGGAACACUCUAAACAAACACCCCUCUGACAUAAUAACAUAACCCAACAAACCCCGAACCACAUAAAACAAACACCCCCUGCCACGUCCUGACCAAACUGCAAUAACAAAUAACCCCUUAUACUGGUCAGGACGUGACAAUGUAAUACAUUUCAACUGUAUAUCUGACAUGGUACAGGUGUCUUCUUUGAUUUAAGUCCAUAACCAGGUGUGUGAGAUGUCUGUUCACUGGACGAGCUACCUUGUCCCGGACCUGCUGUGUUAGACUCUCUCUCUCUCUACCUGCUGUCUCUAACUCUGAAUGAUCGGCUAUGAAAAGACAACUGACAUUUACAGCUGAGGUGCUGACCUGUUGCACCCUCUACAACCACUGUGAUUAUUAUUAUCUGCUCUUGGCCAUGUUCUGUUAUAAUCUCCACCCGGCACAGCCAGAAGAGUCACCCCUCAUAGCCUGGUUCAUCUCUAGGUUUCUUCCUAGGUUCUGGCCUUUCAUGGGAGUUUUUCCUAGCCACCUGUGCUUCUACACCUGCAUUGCUUGCUGUUUUGGGGUUUUAGGCUGGGUUUCUGUACAGCACUUUGAGAUAUCGGCUGAUGUAAAAAGGGCUUUAUAAAUACAUUUGAUUUAUUAAAUUGAUUGAUGUACUUUUGUUUCAAAGUAGAUUUGUUUAACACUACCAAGAAUCACCCUGUGUGACCCUGAUUCAGCCCACUGCAGUAAGGUCAUAUAGGAGACUUGACAGCCUACUGCAGUAAGGUCAUAUAGGAGACUUGACAGCCUACUGCAGUAAGGUGAUAUAGGAGACUUGACAGCCCACUGCAGUAAGGUGAUAUAGGAGACUUGACAGCCCACUGCAGUAAGGUGAUAUAGGAGACUUGACAGCCCACUGCAGUAAGCUGAUAUAGGAGACUUGAGCUACAUGAGCAACUUUUGACAUACGUUUUAGGAGCGUGACGAUUUUCAAGCGUGAGAGUAAAAUAUAUGUGUUAUCAAUAUUUAUUUUCCAGUCAGCGUCGGAGUCGGAGACGUGCUUCCCCGCCCAUAUCGACUAGUCUACAGGAUAUUGAAUUGAGAUCACACACAGGCUACCUGAAAUCUAAAUGGAAGAAAAACUAUACAUUUGUACAGAAAAUACAUGUAUUGAAAUUGGUAACAACAGUAACAAUAAAUUAACAACAUAUUUGACAAUAGAAGUAACAGCAGUUAACACAUUUGUAACCAAAUAAGAGCAUCAUUACAACACUAAUGUAAAAACUAUAUUGUGUGCCAAUGGGCUGUGGGGGAGAGAGAGGCAAUGAGAAAGAGGGAUCAGGGGCCCUAUGAUCAGGGGCCCUAUGAUCAGGGGCCCUAUGAUCAGGGGCCCUAUGACCAGGGGCCCUAUGAUCAGGGGCCCUAUGAUCAGGGGCCACUCUAUUUGGGUUAAGGGGGUUCAGAGAGGAGGUGAAACGUACAACGGGACAGUUUGGUCAGGAGAGGAUCCAGGAGAGAGGAUCCAGGAGAGAGGAUCCAGGAGAGAGGAUCCAGGAGAGAGGAUCCAGGAGAGAGGAUCCAGGAGAGAGGAUCCAGGAGAGAGAAGUCAGGAGAGAGGAUCCAGGAGAGAGGAUCCAGGAGAGAGGAUCCAGGAGAGAGGAUCCAGGAGAGAGGAUCCAGGAGAGAGAAGUCAGGAGAGAGGAUCCAGGAGAGAGGAUCCAGGAGAGAGAAGUCAGGAGGGAGGAUCCAGGAGAGAGAAGUCAGGAGGGAGGAUCCAGGAGAGAGGAUCUGUAGCAAUCCUCCUCAGUUCUGAUUGGUCAGCUCUUCUCACCCCUAGGACAAGCAUAGAUAAAGAAAGAAAAGCAUGAGAGAAAGAGACACCUGGGCUGAAUGGGUAAAAAGACAGGGGACAAGGGACAUAUCAAGCUGGUGUCAUGUGUGUCAGUGGAGGCUCCUCAGAGGAGGAAGGAGAGAACCAUCCUCUUCUGGGAAUUUCAUACAAAUAAAAAUAGUGAAACAUUAAAAAGGUUAUCCUUUUUAGGUAAAACUAUACUAAAUAUAUUCACUGUUUUGCAAUGGUCUACAGUAGCCUGAACAGCACUCUGUAGGGUAGCUCCAUGGUGUAGCCGGAGGACAGCUAGCUUCCGUCCUCCUCUGGGUACGUUGACUUCAAUACAAAACCUAGGAGGCUCAUGGUUCUCACCCGCUUCCAUAGACUUAGACAGUAAUCAUGACAACCUCCGGAGGACGUCCUCCAACCUAUCAGAGCUCUUGCAGCAUGAACUGACAUGUUGUCCACCC